UGGGUAUGCUCUGACAUUUAUAUCUAUCCUUUGAAAAUUUGAAGAGAGGGCACAUCGAGUAAAAGAAAUAAAAGGAAAAUCAAUUUAGGAAAGUCAACAUGUGAGGAGCCUGAGUAUUAUAGGCCAUCCACCACCGGACCUCUUAAGGAAAUUAGAGUUGAUAGUAUGGCCAUUAGGGAGCUCAUGUCAAGUCUACCAUAGGGGUGUGAAAGCUACCGUUGGUAGGAUUAAGAGAGGC
Molecule: long non-coding RNA, 238 nt
Filed under: Capsicum annuum
Lineage: Eukaryota; Viridiplantae; Streptophyta; Magnoliopsida; Solanales; Solanaceae
Description: long non-coding RNA (CANN_LNC012657)
Source: RNAcentral